Molecule: ribosomal RNA, 1234 nt
Filed under: uncultured Halomonas sp.
Lineage: Bacteria; Pseudomonadati; Pseudomonadota; Gammaproteobacteria; Oceanospirillales; Halomonadaceae
Description: bacterial SSU rRNA
Rfam family: Bacterial small subunit ribosomal RNA
Source: RNAcentral
ACCUGGGGAAACCCAGGCUAAUACCGCAUACGUCCUACGGGAGAAAGGGGGCCCCGGCUCCCGCUAUGGGAUGAGCCUAUGUCGGAUUAGCUAGUUGGUGAGGUAACGGCUCACCAAGGCCACGAUCCGUAGCUGGUCUGGGAGGAUGAUCAGCCACAUCGGGACUGAGACACGGCCCGAACUCCUACGGGAGGCAGCAGUGGGGAAUAUUGGACAAUGGGGGCAACCCUGAUCCAGCCAUGCCGCGUGUGUGAAGAAGGCCCUCGGGUUGUAAAGCACUUUCAGCGAGGAAGAACGCCUAGCGGUUAAUACCCGCUAGGAAAGACAUCACUCGCAGAAGAAGCACCGGCUAACUCCGUGCCAGCAGCCGCGGUAAUACGGAGGGUGCAAGCGUUAAUCGGAAUUACUGGGCGUAAAGCGCGCGUAGGUGGCUUGAUAAGCCGGUUGUGAAAGCCCCGGGCUCAACCUGGGAACGGCAUCCGGAACUGUCAAGCUAGAGUGCAGGAGAGGAAGGUAGAAUUCCCGGUGUAGCGGUGAAAUGCGUAGAGAUCGGGAGGAAUACCAGUGGCGAAGGCGGCCUUCUGGACUGACACUGACACUGAGGUGCGAAAGCGUGGGUAGCAAACAGGAUUAGAUACCCUGGUAGUCCACGCCGUAAACGAUGUCGACCAGCCGUUGGGUGCCUAGCGCACUUUGUGGCGAAGUUAACGCGAUAAGUCGACCGCCUGGGGAGUACGGCCGCAAGGUUAAAACUCAAAUGAAUUGACGGGGGCCCGCACAAGCGGUGGAGCAUGUGGUUUAAUUCGAUGCAACGCGAAGAACCUUACCUACUCUUGACAUCCUGCGAAUUUGGUAGAGAUACCUUAGUGCCUUCGGGAACGCAGAGACAGGUGCUGCAUGGCUGUCGUCAGCUCGUGUUGUGAAAUGUUGGGUUAAGUCCCGUAACGAGCGCAACCCUUGUCCUUAUUUGCCAGCGCGUAAUGGCGGGAACUCUAAGGAGACUGCCGGUGACAAACCGGAGGAAGGUGGGGACGACGUCAAGUCAUCAUGGCCCUUACGAGUAGGGCUACACACGUGCUACAAUGGUCGGUACAAAGGGUUGCCAACUCGCGAGAGUGAGCCAAUCCCGAAAAGCCGAUCUCAGUCCGGAUCGGAGUCUGCAACUCGACUCCGUGAAGUCGGAAUCGCUAGUAAUCGUGGAUCAGAAUGCCACGGUGAAUACGUUCCCGGGCCU